GGUUGACCUCGGAUCAGGUAGGAAUACCCGCUGAACUUAAGCAUAUCAAUAAGCGGAGGAAAAGAAACCAACAGGGAUUGCCUCAGUAACGGCGAGUGAAGCGGCAACAGCUCAAAUUUGAAAUCUGGCCUUGUGCCCGAGUUGUAAUUUGUAGAGGAUGCUUUCGGCGCGGCGCCUCCCGAGUGCCCUGGAACGGGACGCCACAGAGGGUGAGAGCCCCGUAUGGUUGGACGCCUAGCCUUUGUAAAGCUCCUUCGACGAGUCGAGUAGUUUGGGAAUGCUGCUCAAAACGGGAGGUAAAUUCCUUCUAAAGCUAAAUACCGGCCAGAGACCGAUAGCGCACAAGUAGAGUGAUCGAAAGAUGAAAAGCACUUUGAAAAGAGGGUUAAACAGCACGUGAAAUUGUUGAAAGGGAAGCGCUUGUGGCCAGACUUGGGCCUCGGGGAUCAGCUGGCGUUCUCGCCAGUGCACUCCGCGGGGCUCAGGCCAGCAUCGGUUUUCCGAGGGGGAUAAAAGCUCCGGGAACGUAGCUCCUUCGGGAGUGUUAUAGCCCGCUGCAGAAUACCCCUUGGGGGACCGAGGUACGCGCUCCGCAAGGAUGCUGGCGUAAUGGUCAUCAGCGGCCCGUCUUGAAACACGGACCAAGGAGUCAAGCAUUAGGGCGAGUGUUUGGGUGUCAAACCCGCACGCGAAAUGAAAGUGAACGUAGGUGAGAGCUUCGGCGCAUCAUCGACCGAUCCUGAUGUAUUCGGAUGGAUUUGAGUAGGAGCCUUACCGCUUGGACCCGAAAGAUGGUGAACUAUGCCUGUAUAGGGUGAAGCCAGAGGAAACUCUGGUGGAGGCUCGCAGCGGUUCUGACGUGCAAAUCGAUCGUCAAAUAUGGGCAUGGGGGCGAAAGACUAAUCGAACUAUUACCUACUAGGUAGUUAAGAGGAUCUGCCGAGAGGCUGGAUCCUAGUUCUUUACGGCGAGAGCUACACCGCCAAAUUGCCGGGAACUACCUGUUUGAUACCCAAGUUACCGCAGCCGAGCUGAAAAGCUCGGUGCGCACCAGGCUAAUCACCUGCGGGAUGGUAAUAACACUUGGGCUAGGGUUGACCCGCAGCCAACUCCGCAUCUAAGGAGGCAGUUCACAGACUAAAUGGUGGUGGGUUCGGCCCCUACUCUGCGUAGGAGGCUGGGCUUAAGAUAUAGUCGAAACCCCUGAGAAAUCAGCGGGAGCGAGGUCCUACCCGACCUCGCAGGAAUGCUAGUAGCUGGUUACCGCCGAAGUUUCCCUCAGGAUAGCAGUGUUGUUUUCAGUUUUAUGAGGUAAAGCGAAUGAUUAGGGACUCGGGGGCGCUAUUUAGCCUUCAUCCAUUCUCAAACUUUAAAUAUGUAAGAAGCCCUUGUUACUUAGCUGAACGUGGGCCUUCGAAUGUAUCAACACUAGUGGGCCAUUUUUGGUAAGCAGAACUGGCGAUGCGGGAUGAACCGAACGCGGGGUUAAGGUGCCAGAGUGGACGCUCAUCAGACACCACAAAAGGCGUUAAUACAUCUUGACAGCAGGACGGUGGCCAUGGAAGUCGGAAUCCGCUAAGGACUGUGUAACAACUCACCUGCCGAAUGUAUUAGCCCUGAAAAUGGAUGGCGCUCAAGCGUCCCACCCAUACCCCGCCCUCAGGGUAGAAACGAUGCCCUGAGGAGUAGGCGGCCGUGGGGAUGGUGACGAAGCCUAGGGCGUGAGCCCGGGUCGAACCAUCCCUAGUGCAGAUCUUGGUGGUAGUAGCAAAUACUUCAAUGAGAACUUGAAGGACCGAAGUGGGGAAAGGUUCCAUGUGAACAGCGGUUGGACGUGGGUUAGCCGAUCCUAAGCCAUAGGGAAGUUCCGUUUCAAAGGGGCACUCGUGCCCCGCUUGGCGAAAGGGAAGCAGGUUAAUAUUCCUGCGCCUGGAUGUGGGUUUUUCGCGGCAACGCAACUGAACGCGGAGACGGCGGCGGGGGCCCCGGGCAGAGUUCUCUUUUCUUCUUAACGGUCUGCCACCCUGAAAACAGUUUGUCUGGAGAUAGGGUUUAAUGGCCGGAAGAGCCCAGCACCUCUGCUGGGUCCGGUGCGCCCCCGACGUCCCUUGAAAAUCCGCGGGAGGGAAUAAUUCUCGCGCCAGGUCGUACUCAUAACCGCAGCAGGUCUCCAAGG
This 2176-nucleotide ribosomal RNA is filed under the name Spadicoides hyalostoma. RNAcentral's name for it is "eukaryotic LSU rRNA". It matches the Rfam family "Eukaryotic large subunit ribosomal RNA", at positions 1 to 1872 of the family's 3401-position model. Lineage: Eukaryota; Fungi; Ascomycota; Sordariomycetes; Xenospadicoidales; Xenospadicoidaceae. The record is from RNAcentral.